Molecule: transfer RNA, 69 nt
Filed under: Rattus norvegicus (Norway rat)
Lineage: Eukaryota; Metazoa; Chordata; Mammalia; Rodentia; Muridae
Rfam family: tRNA
About the family: Transfer RNA (tRNA) molecules are approximately 80 nucleotides in length. Their secondary structure includes four short double-helical elements and three loops (D, anti-codon, and T loops). Further hydrogen bonds mediate the characteristic L-shaped molecular structure. tRNAs have two regions of fundamental functional importance: the anti-codon, which is responsible for specific mRNA codon recognition, and the 3' end, to which the tRNAs corresponding amino acid is attached (by aminoacyl-tRNA synthetases). tRNAs cope with the degeneracy of the genetic code in two manners: having more than one tRNA (with a specific anti-codon) for a particular amino acid; and 'wobble' base-pairing, i.e. permitting non-standard base-pairing at the 3rd anti-codon position.
Source: Rfam by way of RNAcentral
GGGCAUUUAGCUCAGUGGUAGAGCGCUUGCCUAGCAAGCACAAGGCCCUGGGUUCGGUCCCCAGCUCCA